This 265-nucleotide ribosomal RNA is filed under the name uncultured Atopobium sp. RNAcentral describes it as "partial 16S ribosomal RNA". It matches the Rfam family "Bacterial small subunit ribosomal RNA", at positions 91 to 355 of the family's 1533-position model. Lineage: Bacteria; Bacillati; Actinomycetota; Coriobacteriia; Coriobacteriales; Atopobiaceae. The record is from RNAcentral.
UAAAGUGGCGAACGGCUGAGUAACACGUGGGCAACCUGCCCUUUGCACUGGGAUAGCCUCGGGAAACCGAGGUUAAUACCGGAUACUCCAUAUUUGUCGCAUGGCGAAUAUGGGAAAGCUCCGGCGGCAAAGGAUGGGCCCGCGGCCUGUUAGCUAGUUGGUGGGGUAGUGGCCUACCAAGGCAAUGAUGGGUAGCCGGGUUGAGAGACCGACCGGCCAGAUUGGGACUGAGACACGGCCCAGACUCCUACGGGAGGCAGCAGUU